CAGAAGCACAUUACUCUCCAUUGCUACGGAC
RNAcentral lists this non-coding RNA (31 nucleotides) under Mus musculus (house mouse). The record is from RNAcentral. Lineage: Eukaryota; Metazoa; Chordata; Mammalia; Rodentia; Muridae.